GGUGUCGCAGCUAGGUUAAGCGAGGGUGCAGAUCCAUCUCCAUCUCCAUCAUUUUCCUUUCCUCCCUUCUCUUCUUUUCUUUCCUCUCUUUUUUUCAUUUCCCCCCUGCGGCUUUUCGAUAGAAAAGAUAACCCCCCUCUGUACAGAAGUGCCCCCUAAGUCCUGCGAUGGUGGCCUGGCUGCAGCAUGGCAUUGCCAUUUUUUCAUUUCCCCCUGCGGCUUUUCUCCUUUCUCUCCAAGAAGAUCCUGAAACUGUCACUUUCUCUCUGCACUUUGAUCCCUUAACUUGCUUUUUCUUCUCCUUUUUGUGCAACUCUCACGUGAUAAAGUUUUUUCCUAGUAGGU
Molecule: long non-coding RNA, 345 nt
Filed under: Brachypodium distachyon (stiff brome)
Lineage: Eukaryota; Viridiplantae; Streptophyta; Magnoliopsida; Poales; Poaceae
Description: long non-coding RNA (BDIS_LNC000215)
Source: RNAcentral